GCCGGAGCUGGCGGAAGUAGCACCCACCCUCGGGCGUGAGGCUGUGCGCCACGGAGUCCAGCGCGCAUGCGUACGUGCCGCCGGACGCCCCCUUAUUUUCCCUUGAUCCGGGCCCUACACUGUAGAGGUAGUGUCAGCCCGUCUUUCGCAGGCCGGUAACCUUUUCUUCCUGUAGUCUCUCUCCUCACCCACAUCUGCUCCCUGUCAGUAGUGUCCUCUGUCGCAGGACCGCGCCAUUUCUGCCCCCACACCCUCUGCAGCCGUGCCCACAGGUGUCCUGAAGCAGAAUUGGGCAGGUGCCUGGAAACGCUGAGGUCCCCCUUGCCACGAGUGUCGGACGCCUGACUCCUCGGGGAAGCCGGCGCGCUGGGGUGGUGAGGCGUCUCUCCAGUUAAAAAUCUAGAUUCCAGGUCUGACAAGUGAGAGUGGAGUUGUGGUGAUAGUGGACUGUGGUACCUGACAUCCAGAGACAAUCCUGAACUCUACACAUGGAUAAACUAACGUGUCUCCGUGAGAGGAGCUCCAGUCUUCACCUUCACUUUAGAUGUCAUCUCCUGGCUACCAGCACAGACUCUUGAACUUCCAGUGCAGAUUCUUCAGUCUUCCAUUGCAGACCUAUCCACCUCUUGUUAGGGACUUGCACGUGACACUGCAGUGAGCUCCAGAUCUUCGACUGAAUCCUUUGGUCUCUAGUGUGCAAACAGAUGGUCUGCACUCUUUCACAUCUCUUUCUGUGGGUGGUCAUUGUAAGCCAAUCAUGUGAAUUCUUAUAUAUUUGUAUAUGUUGUGUUAUAUCUGUUUUUCUAGUAAACACUGAUACAUUUCCUCAAACAUUGCUAAAAAAUACAGUUCAUUUCUUGGUGGUGACAUAAUUUAAAAUCCUUUCUUUUAAUUCUUUUAAAUAUAUAGUACAUUAUCAUUGUUUGUUAGAAACACACUAGAACUUACUUGUUUUUAGCCGAAGCUUUGUACCAUUUACUAAUAAUUUUCCCAUUCUCUGCCUCCUUUCUUUUUUUUUUUUUAGUCCCUGUAACCACUGUUCUACUCCCUACUUCUGUGAAAUCAACUUUGUUGGAUUCCAAAUAUAAGUGCAAUUAUAUGGAACUUAUCUAGUUUUCAUCCUGCUCUUAAUGCAUUUAUUUCCCUGGUUUUAAAACUAUCAGGCAUGUGUGUUUUCAUCCUUUUUUGCAACAAUUCAAGUCUCAGUUUGUUAUGGUGAGACAUUUUAUAUUAAACAAUUACUUGGUAAGACACAGUAAUAUACAUAAUUAUUUUGUUCAUUUUUAAAAGAUGUUAGGAUUUCCCAAUUUUACAUAGAAUCAAAAUAAUGUAAACUUU
Molecule: non-coding RNA, 1338 nt
Organism: Heterocephalus glaber (naked mole-rat)
Lineage: Eukaryota; Metazoa; Chordata; Mammalia; Rodentia; Bathyergidae
Source: RefSeq, a predicted model, not a curated record